RNAcentral lists this ribosomal RNA (253 nucleotides) under uncultured bacterium. RNAcentral describes it as "partial 16S ribosomal RNA". It matches the Rfam family "Bacterial small subunit ribosomal RNA", at positions 524 to 776 of the family's 1533-position model. The record is from RNAcentral.
UACAGAGGGUGCAAGCGUUGUUCGGAAUUAUUGGGCGUAAAGAGCUCGUAGGCGGUUUGUCGCGUCUGCUGUGAAAACUCGGGGCUUAACUCCGGGCCUGCAGUGGGUACGGGCAGACUAGAGUGCGGUAGGGGAGACUGGAAUUCCUGGUGUAGCGGUGAAAUGCGCAGAUAUCAGGAGGAACACCGGUGGCGAAGGCGGGUCUCUGGGCCGUAACUGACGCUGAGGAGCGAAAGCGUGGGGAGCGAACAGG